This 254-nucleotide ribosomal RNA is filed under the name uncultured bacterium. RNAcentral describes it as "partial small subunit ribosomal RNA". It matches the Rfam family "Bacterial small subunit ribosomal RNA", at positions 26 to 285 of the family's 1533-position model. The record is from RNAcentral.
AGGACGAACGCUGGCGGCGUGCUUAACACAUGCAAGUCGAGCGGAAAGGCCCUUCGGGGUACUCGAGCGGCGAACGGGUGAGUAACACGUGAGUAAUCUGCCCCUAGCUCUGGGAUAGCUCCGGGAAACCGGGAUUAAUACUGGAUACGACCACCUUAGACAUCUUUUGUGGUGGAAAGAAUUUCGGCUAGGGAUGAGCUCGCGGCCUAUCAGCUUGUUGGUGAGGUAAUGGCUCACCAAGGCGACGACGGGUA